GCUCAGUAGCUCAGUUGGUUGAGCAUGGGACAUUAGAUCUCAGGAUUGUGGGUUUGAGCCCCACACUGGGCA
Molecule: non-coding RNA, 72 nt
Organism: Pangasianodon gigas (Mekong giant catfish)
Lineage: Eukaryota; Metazoa; Chordata; Actinopteri; Siluriformes; Pangasiidae
Source: the annotation of a GenBank genome assembly